This 402-nucleotide ribosomal RNA is filed under the name grassland soil clone sl2_709. RNAcentral describes it as "bacterial SSU rRNA". It matches the Rfam family "Bacterial small subunit ribosomal RNA", at positions 50 to 496 of the family's 1533-position model. The record is from RNAcentral.
AACACAUGCAAGUCGAGCGGGCGUAGCAAUACGUCAGCGGCAGACGGGUGAGUAACGCGUGGGAACGUACCUUUUGGUUCGGAACAACACAGGGAAACUUGUGCUAAUACCGGAUAAGCCCUUACGGGGAAAGAUUUAUCGCCGAAAGAUCGGCCCGCGUCUGAUUAGCUAGUUGGUGAGGUAAUGGCUCACCAAGGCGACGAUCAGUAGCUGGUCUGAGAGGAUGAUCAGCCACAUUGGGACUGAGACACGGCCCAAACUCCUACGGGAGGCAGCAGUGGGGAAUAUUGGACAAUGGGCGCAAGCCUGAUCCAGCCAUGCCGCGUGAGUGAUGAAGGCCCUAGGGUUGUAAAGCUCUUUUGUGCGGGAAGAUAAUGACGGUACCGCAAGAAUAAGCCCCGG